CUUCUCGCAUCGUUUUACAUCUUCACUCAGAUCUCUUUCAACUCUUUCCCAUCUCCUGACAUCCCUUCCCAUCAUCGUUUGGCAACUUUGGCAGAGGCUGACAUCAACAAGCAUGCUUGUGAAAACAGUAGUGAUUUUAAUUCCAAAUAUUUCGGAAAAACGAGUUUUUAAAUAAUAAAAAUUACUUCAAUUAUAGGUGAAAAAAAUGCAAAUGCAUUGUGUGGAAGGAAAAAACAUUAUAUUGAACUGGAAAUCCACCAGCGGCAUCGUAAAUCUCCGCAAACCGAUUAAUCCAAACAGUCCGCUUUACCAUACAAUAUGUAAUACAAAUCGUCGGAAGCGUAUCGUUGGUGCUCUCUUGAUAUUUCCCCAUGGCACGACCGCGCAGGCUUGGGAUGUUGGCCACUAGAAAGUUCAUGGCGAUGCCGUCGCAGUUAUUUAAUGUGCUUGUCGACCCAGUCCUUGAAGUUGCAGGGCAUAACGUUGAUAGUUCCAGUACUUUUGAUGGAAUACGGUUCCGAUGAGAAUUCGCAAUGGAAAAAUGACGAUCCGAUCAAAGAGCUUAUACCACAUUUCGUAGCCAAAAUCCAGCACGUCGGCCACAACAAUUUUGAUGUCAUCGAUGUCGAUGGUGAGGAUAGUCCCGGAUUCGAUUUCCUUAGAAUCGGUUGGAGAGUUUGUCAGCCGCAGUUUUGACGAUUUUAAUAUACAAACGGAUGGGUAAAAAGUAGUAAACACGUAAAGUAAAACGGGCGGGAACUUUUGCUGGUUAUGCCAGACGACUUUUAUUUUCAACGAAAGAACCGCUGAGCUUUUAAUUAGCCCAAUUCUAGAGGGAUUUCCACUAAAAUUCCCGAAGAAUUCCGA
Long non-coding RNA from Armigeres subalbatus, 867 nucleotides. RefSeq lists it as uncharacterized. NCBI's taxonomy places the organism in Eukaryota, Metazoa, Arthropoda, Insecta, Diptera, Culicidae. The transcript has 3 exons. The record is from RefSeq and is a predicted model, not a curated record.